RNAcentral lists this unclassified non-coding RNA (510 nucleotides) under Hevea brasiliensis (rubber tree). The record is from RNAcentral. Lineage: Eukaryota; Viridiplantae; Streptophyta; Magnoliopsida; Malpighiales; Euphorbiaceae.
ACUUCUGCAUCUCUGUUUAGUACUGAAAUAACGUCCUUCACACAUGCAUUUCUUGUUCCCUCUUCACUUUGUUCCGCAGUGUCUUCAAGAGCAUUACCCAAUGAUGUCACAGCCACAGAAGUGAUUCUGGAACUUGAGUUGGAUGAACAAUCCGUAAUGAACAAAACUGAUGAUGAACUAACAUCAAGCAUGGCAACCUGCCCACUUUCAAAACCAGCAACAAGCCUGGCACCCACAGCUACAAAUUUUAGGAUGCAUACUGGAGAUUUUAUGAGGGAAAACUGAAAUCCAGUAUCACCUGGACAGAACUGAGCGUCCUGUUCAGCAUCUGUAACCAAUUUGGAGCUAGUUGUCUUAGACUGCCCCUUGAGGCUAUACAUAUGCACCUGGCCACAUUGGUGGCCGAUGGCAAGAUUUAAAGCAGUAGAGGAGAAGUCCAAAGCGGAUAUUGCUGUUCUAGGACCAGUGGCUUGAAUUCCCUGAGAUUCCAGAACAGCUAAAAGUGUAAAG